This 786-nucleotide ribosomal RNA is filed under the name uncultured Rhodobacterales bacterium. RNAcentral describes it as "partial 16S ribosomal RNA". Lineage: Bacteria; Pseudomonadati; Pseudomonadota; Alphaproteobacteria; Rhodobacterales. The record is from RNAcentral.
UGGCUAUCUGGUCGAUCCCCAAACCGUCGAGACCAUCAAAUCGGUGCUGCAGUCCUCGGGAUCGAUCCGGGCGAUUGCCUCGGUCGUCAAUGUCGAGGCGACGACCUAUGACGUGCUGAUCGAUCAUACCGAUGUGGGCGCGGGAUGGGCCACCGAAGCCGGGCCGGCCGCCGAAACGGACACGCCGCAGAUCGACCGGAUUUCGAUCCCGCUGCACGAGCUGAGCGCCCUGCCGAAGGCCAGCCAGCGGCUGCUGGAUGACAGUGCGUUCGAUAUCGAGGGUUGGCUGGCAGGCCGGAUCGCCGACAAGUUCGCCCGCGCCGAGGCGGCGGCCUUUGUCAACGGUGACGGUGUCGACAAGCCGACCGGUCUGCUGACCCACACGGCGGUCGAUAACGACGUCUGGACCUGGGGCAAUAUCGGCUACGUGCCGACCGGCGUACUUGGCAGCCUGGGUGGCGGCGAUGCGAUCAUCGACCUGGUGUAUUCGCUGGGUGCCCGGUAUCGCGCCAAUGCGAGUUUCCUGAUGAACUCGAAAACCGCCGGGCUGGUGCGCAAGCUGAAGGACGCCGAUGGCCGGUUCCUGUGGUCGGACGGGCUGGCGGCCGGCGAGCCGGCGCGCCUGAUGGGCUAUCCGGUGGUGAUCGUCGAGGACAUGCCGGAUGCCGGGGACGAUGCCUUUGCCAUUGCCUUUGGCGAUUUCGCUGCCGGCUACACGAUCGCCGAGCGUCCCGACCUGCGGGUGCUGCGCGAUCCGUUCAGCGCCAAGCCCCACGUGCUGUUCUA